This 502-nucleotide ribosomal RNA is filed under the name uncultured bacterium. Its description in RNAcentral is "bacterial SSU rRNA". It matches the Rfam family "Bacterial small subunit ribosomal RNA", at positions 1043 to 1533 of the family's 1533-position model. The record is from RNAcentral.
GCAUGGUUGUCGUCAGCUCGUGUCGUGAGAUGUUGGGUUAAGUCCCGCAACGAGCGCAACCCUUAAGCUUAGUUGCCAGCAUUAAGUUGGGCACUCUAAGUUGACUGCCGGUGACAAACCGGAGGAAGGUGGGGAUGACGUCAAAUCAUCAUGCCCCUUAUGAUUUGGGCUACACACGUGCUACAAUGGACAAUACAAAGGGCAGCUAAACCGCGAGGUCAUGCAAAUCCCAUAAAGUUGUUCUCAGUUCGGAUUGUAGUCUGCAACUCGACUACAUGAAGCUGGAAUCGCUAGUAAUCGUAGAUCAGCAUGCUACGGUGAAUACGUUCCCGGGUCUUGUACACACCGCCCGUCACACCACGAGAGUUUGUAACACCCGAAGCCGGUGGAGUAACCAUUUAUGGAGCUAGCCGUCGAAGGUGGGACAAAUGAUUGGGGUGAAGUCGUAACAAGGUAGCCGUAUCGGAAGGUGCGGCUGGAUCACCUCCUUAAUCACUAGUGC